Molecule: ribosomal RNA, 474 nt
Filed under: uncultured bacterium
Lineage: Bacteria
Description: partial 16S ribosomal RNA
Rfam family: Bacterial small subunit ribosomal RNA
Source: RNAcentral
GAUGAACGCUAGCGGCAGGCCUAACACAUGCAAGUCGAGGGAGGAGCUUUCGGGCUUCGACCGGCGUACGGGUGCGUAACGCGUAUACAAUCUGCCUUUCACAUAGGGAUAGCCCGAAGAAAUUUGGAUUAAUACCUAAUGGUAUAUAGAGGUGGCAUCACCUUUAUAUUAAAGCUGAGGCGGUGAAAGAUGAGUAUGCGUUCUAUUAGCUAGUUGGAGAGGUAACGGCUCCCCAAGGCGACGAUAGAUAGGGGUUCUGAGAGGGAUAUCCACCACACUGGUACUGAGAUACGGACCAGACCCCUACGGGAGGCAGCAGUGAGGAAGAUUGGACACUGGUCGGAAGACUGAUCCAGCCAUGCCGCGUGCAGGAAGACGGCCUUAUGGGUUGUAAACUGCUUGUGAAGGGGAAGAAUAAGGACUACGCGUAGUUUGAUGACGGUACUCUGCGAAUAAGCAUCGGCUAACUCCGUG